GUCUAGCGGCGGACGGGUUAGUAACGCGUGGGAAUAUACCCUUCACUACGGAAUAGCCUCGGGAAACUGGGAGUAAUACCGUAUACGCCCUUUGGGGGAAAGAUUUAUCGGUGAAGGAUUAGCCCGCGUCUGAUUAGAUAGUUGGUGGGGUAAUGGCCUACCAAGUCUACGAUCAGUAGCUGGUUUGAGAGGAUGAUCAGCAACACUGGGACUGAGACACGGCCCAGACUCCUACGGGAGGCAGCAGUGGGGAAUCUUAGACAAUGGGCGCAAGCCUGAUCUAGCCAUGCCGCGUGAGUGACGAAGGCCUUAGGGUCGUAAAGCUCUUUCGCCAGAGAUGAUAAUGACAGUAUCUGGUAAAGAAACCCCGGCUAACUCCGUGCCAGCAGCCGCGGUAAUACGGAGGGGGUUAGCGUUGUUCGGAAUUACUGGGCGUAAAGCGCACGUAGGCGGAUUGGAAAGUAUGGGGUGAAAUCCCAGGGCUCAACCCUGGAACGGCCUUGU
Molecule: ribosomal RNA, 504 nt
Filed under: Rhodobacteraceae bacterium N5
Lineage: Bacteria; Pseudomonadati; Pseudomonadota; Alphaproteobacteria; Rhodobacterales; Paracoccaceae
Description: bacterial SSU rRNA
Rfam family: Bacterial small subunit ribosomal RNA
Source: RNAcentral